Molecule: long non-coding RNA, 429 nt
Organism: Armigeres subalbatus
Lineage: Eukaryota; Metazoa; Arthropoda; Insecta; Diptera; Culicidae
Exons: 3
Source: RefSeq, a predicted model, not a curated record
AAAACAUAAACAAAAGAGGAAAAUUAUACCGUAGUGAGCAAUCGGCAGUGGAGAUUUUUUAAGUCGUUUGAAGUAUUGAAUAAUGAAAUCGAAUCCGCGGUAUAAUGUGUUGCAAUCGUAGCAUAUCAGAGAUCUUGGAAGGCACUGUUAGUCCGACCGUGAGCCGCCAUGCCUGUAGGGAAAACAGAGGAUUACUGAAAAACUAUAAAAUUUUCAAGCUGUUGGUUAACCAAAACACUGCACUGGACAUUGGUGUUAUUAGGGUGGUUCAAAAAGGAACUGUGGAACAAACUGUGUAAAAUGAAGCACACUGCUGUCAAAAGAGUUUCACCAGACAAAAAACAUCGCAGCAGUUUCUAUUCCAAAACAGUAAAGAGAGGAUGAUUCAGAUACAAAACUGUCAAUUUUAGCAAUUCGUAAUUUUCAAAA